RNAcentral lists this ribosomal RNA (478 nucleotides) under Holothuria scabra. RNAcentral's name for it is "partial 16S ribosomal RNA". It matches the Rfam family "Bacterial large subunit ribosomal RNA", at positions 1858 to 2605 of the family's 2925-position model. Lineage: Eukaryota; Metazoa; Echinodermata; Holothuroidea; Aspidochirotida; Holothuriidae. The record is from RNAcentral.
CCUGCCAGUGGCUAAAGCUAAACGGCCGCGGUAUCUUGACCGUGCAAAGGUAGCAUAAUCAUUUGUCUUUUAAAUGGAGACUUGUAUGAAUGGCGGAACCUUCUUCAACUGUCUCCCUUUCCACUCUCCCAAAUUUCUAUUUCUGUGAAGAAGCAGAAAUAAAAGAGAAAGACGAGAAGACCCUGUCGAGCUUCAGCUUAAAGGUGAAAAAUUAAACAUCAUCCAAAAGCUUUGGUUGGGGCAACCAUGGAGAAAACACAUCCUCCAGAAAAAAUAGAAGAAAACCCUUCACUAUUUUCAACCUCAAAGAACCAGAAACUGGUAAUCGGAAAAAGUUACCGCAGGGAUAACAGCGUAAUCUUCUCUAAGAGUCCUUAUUGACGAGAAGGUUUGCGACCUCGAUGUUGGAUUGGGGCCUCCUUUGGGUGCAGAAGCUCUAAAAGGUUAGACUGUUCGUCUAUUAAAGCCCUACGUGAUC